Aptenodytes forsteri (emperor penguin) is the source of this 1524-nucleotide long non-coding RNA. RefSeq lists it as uncharacterized. The record is from RefSeq and is a predicted model, not a curated record. The transcript has 3 exons. Lineage: Eukaryota; Metazoa; Chordata; Aves; Sphenisciformes; Spheniscidae.
UCACCCCCAUCUUAAUACAUGUUUUUUAAUGCCAGAGCUGCCCCUCCAGUCGAGGCCCGAGUCACGUCACCGCUGUCCCACAGUCCUUUCCAGGAAGAUGGAGACAUUCCCCUCCCUGAUCCCAAACCAGAGGGAUCCAAGCACUGAGGCGGUGACGGCGCUGGGUGCCAGCAGAGAGGCGGGAGGUGUACCGGCACUGCGAGUGGUUCAUACGGCUCGGAGGCUGACAGCAGCUUGGGGCAGCGCCUGUUUGCUGUGGUACAACUGGCGAGCGAUAGUCACAUCUAGGACCAUCAGACGGGGAGUCCCCAGCCCCUCUUCUGCCAGGGUGGUGGAUGCGGAGGGGAGCCAGGAGGGACGGGCAUGGGCUCUGGAUGCAUUUUAGGGGGCCGUCUGCCUACACUUGCCCAUGAAUGAGCAAAACGCAUAAGGACGAGCUCCUCAGAGGACCCUGGUCCCUGCCAGCAGCUCUGCCCAUCCCGAAGAGGUGGUGGCUGUGUGUGCCUUUGGGUGGGGACCCUGCACCCACCGCGGCUGCUUCCCUGUGGCUUUGCAAAGGCAUUUCAAUGAGCCUGGAGUCACCGCAGGCACGCAGAAACGGAGGAUUUGGGAGCGCAAACCCCCCUGCCUGGGAUGAGGCUCAUGGCAGACCUGCAAACGCUGGGGGUCAGGCACUACCAGUCCACAUAAGCAGCAUCUCCCACCCACUCCACCAAAGCACGAAUGACUCCGCAGCACGCGGAGCACACGACGAUCAACUCCUCAAUCUGUUCUUCCCCCCCCCCCCCCCCCCCCCCCCCUGUGAUCACUCAAGCUUUAACCCAGCCUCGGUGAAUGUGAUUCAUCUUGGCUGCUGUUAAGGCAGAAUGGGAAGGUUACAACGCUGCUCUCCACUGCGUCGACAUGAUAUACCCUGCCCAUGAAAUAAUCUGCGGCUGGCGUUACGAGGCCAUAUAUCCCCUUGAAUUGCAACACCCUAAAUGCGACAAGUAGCCACUUAAUCGAUACGAGUUCAUUCUCUGUUUUCCUUCUUUACGGAAAAUUGGGCAGACUCCCAGCCUGUUUCCAUAGGAACGGGCUGGGAGACUGGGAGAACCGCCGGCUGCUGAAGGUCCGGCGUUAACGCAGCCACGGCAUCUGCUUCGCACUGGCAGAAGCUCCAGCGGCCUCCCAACAUCACAGCUACGUGAAGCCGAGUCAAUUUGUGCUGGAGACAAGGAGCUGCCAGCUGAUAACCAGUUAACAUGCAGGUACCCGCAUUAGCCCCACAGAAUUUAGAGGAGGAUGGAGAGGGCUCCUUUGCUCACCCGGCACCAGCAUCCCGGGAUGCCGGGGCUCGUCCUGCCCCCCCUGCUUCCCUGGGGGCUCCCCCAAACCCAACUCUUCCCCGGGGCUGAGCAAAGGCUUCCCCGCGCGAUGGCAGCAUUUGCUAAAUCUCCAGCACUAGCUGGAGAUGCCUCAGGUGUCUGCUUUGUUUUCCUUCCCUCUUAUGAAAUGAAAUGAGAGGAAAUAAAUUGUAGCACA